This 446-nucleotide ribosomal RNA is filed under the name Bacillus subtilis. Its description in RNAcentral is "bacterial SSU rRNA". It matches the Rfam family "Bacterial small subunit ribosomal RNA", at positions 79 to 504 of the family's 1533-position model. Lineage: Bacteria; Bacillati; Bacillota; Bacilli; Caryophanales; Bacillaceae. The record is from RNAcentral.
CUUACCUUGCUCCCUGAUGUUAGCGGCGGACGGGUGAGUAACACGUGGGUAACCUGCCUGUAAGACUGGGAUAACUCCGGGAAACCGGGGCUAAUACCGGAUGGUUGUUUGAACCGCAUGGUUCAAACAUAAAAGGUGGCUUCGGCUACCACUUACAGAUGGACCCGCGGCGCAUUAGCUAGUUGGUGAGGUAACGGCUCACCAAGGCGACGAUGCGUACCCGACCUGAGAGGGUGAUCGGCCACACUGGGACUGAGACACGGCCCAGACUCCUACGGGAGGCAGCAGUAGGGAAUCUUCCGCAAUGGACGAAAGUCUGACGGAGCAUCGCCCCGUGAGUGAUGAAGGUUUUCGGAUCGUAAAGCUCUGUUGUUAGGGAAGAACAAGUACCGUUCGAAUAGGGCGGUGCCUUGACGGUACCUAACCAGAUAGCCACGGCUAACUAC